CCUACGGGAGGCAGCAGUGAGGAAUAUUGGUCAAUGGCCGUAAGGCUGAACCAGCCAAGUCGCGUGAAGGAAGAAGGAUCUAUGGUUUGUAAACUUCUUUUAUAGGGGAAUAAAGGUAUCCACGUGUGGAUAGUUGCAGGUACCCUAUGAAUAAGCAGCGGCUAACUCCGUGCCAGCAGCCGCGGUAAUACGGAGGAUGCGAGCGUUAUCCGGAUUUAGUGGGUUUAAAGGGUGCGUAGGUUGUUUUUUAAGUCAGCGGUGGAAGGUUGUGGCUCAACCAUAAAAUUGCCGUUGAAACUGGAAGACUGUAGUGUGUUUGAGGUAGGCGGAAUGCGUGGUGUAGCGGUGAAAUGCAUAGAUAUCACGCAGAACUCCGAUUGCGAAGGCAGCUUACUAAGCCAUAACUGACACUGCAGCACGAAAGCGUGGGGAUCAAACAGGAUUAGAUACCCCAGUAGUC
This 460-nucleotide ribosomal RNA is filed under the name uncultured bacterium. Its description in RNAcentral is "partial 16S ribosomal RNA". It matches the Rfam family "Bacterial small subunit ribosomal RNA", at positions 338 to 795 of the family's 1533-position model. The record is from RNAcentral.